Molecule: small RNA, 797 nt
Filed under: Drosophila yakuba
Lineage: Eukaryota; Metazoa; Arthropoda; Insecta; Diptera; Drosophilidae
Description: GE28328
Source: RNAcentral
UUGAAAUCAAACACAACAGGAGUUUCUACACAAUUUUUAUGACGUUUCUCCAUCUUCCUCUGCUUCCGCCCAAUUUAAUUGAACCAACUUUCGCCAUACUAAAAAAAGAAGCUUUUGUUCUUAACAAAAAUAUUUUUCAACGCUUUUUGACUUAUUAUGAUAAGCAGUGGCUAAAAUCUGAAGGACCUGACCGCAUUUCCGUUUUUAAGAGAGCCCUCAGAACGACAAGUUCUCUUGAGGCCGACAAUUUAAAUUUAGGGAAUAAAAUUCACACAAAAGGAUAUUUCUUCUUCAAAAAGUCGAGAAUUCGCGCUUUUAUUUCAAAAUGGAGGACUUGGAAAUGCCCCACAAAAGCGUUAUUUAAAGGACCGUUCUCAAAAAAUAAUGGAUUCCAUGGAUCUUUUGGAGGCAAUAGAAACUUAUGUGCAAGGAUUCUUGUCUCGAACCCUUGCCUUAAAUGAUCGCUUCAAAAAUCAGGAUCUUUUUAAAAAUUUUGCACUCGAAAACGAAGGCCUCAGAUUGGAGGACAUGGCGGCUCUGAGUAUUUUGGAAUCAUAUGUUUCCUCGAAUGAUUCGAAUCUUAGCCAAAUGUCAGAGUCGGAAAUAAUCCAACAGAGUCCAUGUAAUGGGUGCUUAGUCAGCCCAAAAUCAGUUUGGUUUCGACCUUGCAACCAUCUAAACGUCUGAAAUCAGUGUUGGGAUUGCAUAUUACAGAAAGCACAAGCUACGGAAAUGCAACUAAAAUGCCCGACUUGUAAUCAACAUGUUACCAAGGCUAUUAUAUUUGAAGAGCUCUC